AAUGUCUUAGUGACAGAACCUUUAAUUCCAAAGUAACCCCUAAUUCCUUAGUAGAUUUAAGAUUAGAAUUAAGCAUUACCAUAUAGAAAUUCUUUUGUAAAUUAUUGCUUUGCAACUAAUUUAAUUGGUUUCAUGACCUGCACCUAUGUCUAGACUACAAAUUCAUGAAUUUCUCAUCUCAAGCAUUCGUAAAGUCCACUUUCGUUUCAAAAUACAAAUCGUAGAACAUUUUAAUGUUGAUCAAGCAAUAAAAAGCAUUAAGCACAGAGAUGAGAAAAAUAAUUCAAUAAACUCAUUCAUAUAAAUAGAAAUCAAAUCAUAAAAAUAAGGGUUUCAUCUUGUUACACUCAUCCCUAACAAAUAGGGUUUAGUUACUCAUGACAGAGAUAAAAGAGAUAGAGAUUAGAGAGGAAUUACAAGAAAGAUUCAUGAAUGAUUCUUGAUAAAACUGCUCCAAUGAUGUUAGAAACGGCCGUCUUUGAGUUUCUAUGCUAGGGCACAAGUCUCCCCACUUCCCAAUAGUGAAAAAGAUGCUUAAAACAAUAAAAAUAUGCGUUUUAUGGUUGCUGGUACGGGUCGCGCGCCCCAGGCACGCUUGGACGCGCUUCAGCGCGUUUGGACAGUAGCAGAUGCUGGAAAAAGCGCUUUGCUUGCGCUUGGGCGCGCUCGGGCGCUCAACAUCUGCUGUCCGGCGUAUAUUGCAUUUUUCUCGUCUUUCGAGUCUGAAUUUGGUUCCGGUGUUUUCAUGAAAGUUGUAGCUAUGGAUCUUAGAUUUCAUUUGCACUUGGUUUGACCCCAAUUGAACAUCUACAACUCCAUAUAUGGCUGAAAUACUCUACAUAUGUCAUGUUGAUUUCUCACCAAAAUUCAGCACUGCACUAAAACAAAACGCAAUGUAAAAUUACGACAAAUUCCUACUUAAUCAACGAAAUAAAAAAAACAAAACAUUUUAUCAACUCAAAGAACAAAAAUUAACAAAAUAUAUCAAAUAAAUCCUUACUUUAACUAAUGAUUGAGGAUAAAUAAGACUAAAAUAGUGGGAAAAUAUGCAUAUGAUGAAGAGUCAUCACAACGCCAAACUUAAUCUAUUGCUUGUCCCCAAGCAACAAUUAAUUUCAUAUUUGGUCCUAUUAAAUGCACACUUUAAUUCAAUUUCUCAAAUUACAUCAAACUCAAAUUUCAAAGUUCUUGCUACUGCAAAACAUUCAUCAUGCUCUAUGGUUGUUUAAAAAAAUAAAGACAACAAGAUUUGUACACCUUGGCAUUCAUUCAUCAAAAACAACUCUCUCUUCACACAAUCUCACCAAAAUUUCUCUCAAGUGUUUAGAAGGGUUAUAAAUUUAUCACUCAAAUCCUAGAACAUGCAUCACGCUACCAUAGGCUUGAAAAAAUUCUAGUUAGCAAUCACAAUGCAGUAAACACAUACAUGUUUUGAGGACUUUCGGGUUGUAAUGGGGCUUAGGUAAUGGUAGGACAUUUUAGGAUAGUAGGCUUUACCACUUGGAGUUAGGCAUACAUUUCCACCUUAUUCUACCAUUUUUUUUCUUCAUCUUUUCAUUAUGGAGAUUCUUAGACAUUGACAAAAGAACCAAGAAGAUAUUUUUUUUUUUUACCAAAGUACACAUAUUGAAUUUUUUUUCUUCUUCUUUCUUUUUUCAUUUUCUUUUUCUUCUUUUUAUUUUUUUUUUAAUUUUCUUUUUGUGAGAAUCACCACCCCAAACUUAAAAAGUUGCUAUUCCAUGAGCAACCCCAAACUUAGAAUUUUAUCAAGACAAGAAUUUUUUUUUCUACCUAACUCCAAGUAAGGUGAUUUAAUUAAAGUCAGGUGUUUUGCUUGUAAUGUGGCUAGUAACCGAAAUAAAAGGGCAAGGCUCAAAGGGGCUAGCAAAGGGUAAAAUUUUUAUAGGGUAGUUAGAAAGGCUCAAACGACCAAUAAAAUUGCCUCAAUGUAUGCAUAAAUUACAAGUGAUGCAAGUCAGAAUUAGUGCAAGUUCUAGAGGGAUAACACAUGUCUGGAUAAUCACACAACAAAGAAUUUAAGUGUUUAGGCUCAAAAGCUCACAGCUAGGAUAAUAAGAGAGAGUAUGAACAAUCAAAAUAAAGCCAACAUGCUUCUGAAAAGUUAAAAUUGUAUUUUUGAAAAAUUGAUGGCAUAUUAGCCUUCUACAACCAUUUAGUAAUCAAGAAUGCAUGCAUUAGGAAGACUUGUCGACUUGAGCAAUAACAUAAUCUAAGAAAUGAAAAGUGCAAGUCAGUACGACUGUUUCAUCAUAGUACACAUUUAGUGAAAGGAAAAAAAACAUGAGGAGAAGAAAGUCAACAUAUACUGACAUUAAACAAAGAAAACGAGAAAACGGAAAGCAACAGGACAACCAACAAAAAGAAAAAGAAAAAAAGAAAGAAAACUUCUCUUAGUUUAGUAGUUCAAUGUUAAAUAAUAAAAUAGAAUAUAAUUUUGUUGAUAUAUUAACUUGUAAGUCUGUGUAAAGAUAUGUCUAAUUACUUAUUCAAAUAUGUUUAAAUUAAAUAGGUUUUUAAGUAUGAUAACAAGUCAUAUCAUAUUUUCAUUAAGGUUAGUCUUAAUACCAAAAAGUAAGUUUGCAACAUAAAACAUCUGAGAUUUAGGUCUUGAAUGUUUUUGAAAGACUAGACUCGAACAUUGCAACGCUUAGCUCGACUUAGCCUAUUCUCAACCUCAAUGCAUAGAUAUAUGGUAUUGGUACACAUAUGUUGUAGUUUAAAAACAAAAUUAAUGUUAGUCGUUAGUCAUUAAUCGUUAGUUUUUAGUUAGAGAAACCUACGAACCUCUUUAUCACUUCAAUUCUUACGCUCAUCUCUCAAACCACCAAAUCACUUUAUGACUCCCUAUAUCAUGUAAAUAAGAGAGUUAAAUUAUUUAAUUAAUAAUACAAUAUCACAAUAAAAUUUAAUUUUUUUAUUACACCAAUUAAUAAACUAAAAUACUAUUAUAUAUUAAUAUAUAAGAAAAUCAUCAAUUUCAUUCGCAACUCAAUAAUGAGAGGAAAAAAAAAGCAAAAACUUGAUAGCGUUUCAGCAAGUGUAUUGAAUCGUUGCAAGUAAUAAUAAAACGGUAGUACCGAGUGUCGAACUCAAGGAUUGCGUUUUACUAUUGAAUUAAAUUUAAUUACUAAAAUUGAACAAAAAGUUUCCGAAUUGAUUGAAAUAAUAUUUGAAAUUGACAACAAUAAUAAAAUUGAUCCUUUAUAAUGAGAAAAAUGUCAGAAAUGAGUUUCACUUCGAAUCCAACCUUGGUGUCUAAUUUGAUCCGAGUUACUGAAUUCCUUUAUUGAAUUAUUACCGAAUUCUCUUUAUUAUUCUUGCCCUAAUGUCUUAGUGAUAGAACCUUUAAUUCCAAAGUAACCCCUAAUUCCUUAGUAGAUUUAAGAUUAGAAUUAAGCAUUACCGUAUAGAAGUUCUUUUGUAAAUUAUUGCUUUGCAACUAAUUUAAUUGGUUUCAUGACCUGCACCUAUGUCUAGACUACAAAUUCAUGAGUUUCUCAUCUCAAGCAUUCGUAAAGUCCACUUCCGUUUCAAAAUACAAAUCGUAGAACAUUUUAAUGUUGAUCAAGCAAUAAAAAGCAUUAAGCACAGAGAUGAGAAAAAUAAUUCAAUAAACUCAUUCAUAUAAAUAGAAAUCAAAUCAUAAAAAUAAGGGUUUCAUCUUGUUACACUCAUCCCUAACAAAUAGGGUUUAGUUACUCAUGACAGAGAUAAAAGAGAUAGAGAUUAGAG
RNAcentral lists this long non-coding RNA (3753 nucleotides) under Cicer arietinum (chickpea). Its description in RNAcentral is "long non-coding RNA (CARI_LNC002755)". Lineage: Eukaryota; Viridiplantae; Streptophyta; Magnoliopsida; Fabales; Fabaceae. The record is from RNAcentral.